Small nuclear RNA from Acomys russatus (golden spiny mouse), 103 nucleotides. NCBI's taxonomy places the organism in Eukaryota, Metazoa, Chordata, Mammalia, Rodentia, Muridae. The record is from RefSeq and is a predicted model, not a curated record.
GUCUUGAAAAACCAACAGCCAAACAAACAAAAAUGCACAGAAAAAAUUAGUAUGGCUCCUGCACAAGGAUGACACACAAAUUCAUUAAGCAUCCCAUAUUUUU